UUUAUAUAGAAGGACUGAGAAGCUCAGUUGUGGUGACUUGAGUGUAUAUAUAGAUAUAUAUUCAAACACCAUCUAAAACAAUUUCCACCUCCAGAAAUGAGCCCCCAAAAAAUAUUGGUAAAAAUGUUUAAAUUAUUUGUACCAUGUCAGAUGUUCUAUUAGUCAUAGGCAUUAUCACCUCUAGCCAACUGAUGCUGCAUAGCGGCUAUAACAUGUACAUAGGCUGAAGCAUGGGGUCUGUCCAUCUGCAUUUACCUUACUGGACACAACAUUCUGAAUGUUAUUAUUUUUAAAUAUACAGUACCAGUCAAAAGUUUGGACACACCUACUCAUUCCAGGGUCUUUAUUUUUUACUAUUUUCUACAUUGUAGAAUAAUAGUGAAGACAUCAACACUAUUAAAUAACACAUAUGGAAUCAUAUAGUAACCAUAAAUAUAAAAUAUGAGAUACUUUGAAGUAUCUUAACAAACAGAUUACCGACCAUUUUAAAUCCCACCGUACCUUCUCCGCUAUGCAAUCUGGUUUCAGAGCUGGUCAUGGGUGCACCUCAGCCACGCUCAAGGUCCUAAACAUCAUCAUAACUACCAUCGAUAAGCGACAUUACUGUGCAGCCAUAUUCAUCGACCUGGCCAAGGCUUUCGACUCUGUCAAUCACCACAUUCUUAUUGGCAGACUCGACAGACUUGGUUUCUCAAAUGAUUGCCUCGCCUGGUUUACUAAUUACUUCUCUGAUAGAGUUCAGUGUGUUAAAUCGGAGGUCCUGUUGUCCGGACCUCUGGCAGUCUCUAUGGAGGUGCCACAGGGUUCAAUCCUCGGUCUGACUCUCUUCUCUGUAUACAUCAAUGAUGUUGCUCCUGCUGCUGGUGAUUCUCUGGUACACCUCUAUGCAGACGACACCAUUCUAUAUACUUCUGGCCCCUCUUUGGACACUGUUAACUAACCUCCAGACGAGCUUCAAUGCCAUACAACUCUCCUUCCGUGGCCUCCAACUGCUCUUAAAUGCAAGUAAAACUAAAUGCAUGCUAUUCAACCGAUCAUUGCCGGCACCUGCUUGCCAGUCCAGCAUCACUACUCUGGACGGCUCUGACUUACAUGGACAACUACGUGGAAUAAAUGGACAACUACAAAUACCUAGGUGUCUGGUUAGACUGUAAACUCUCCUUCCAGACUCACAUUAAGCAUCUCCAAUCCAAAAUUAAAUCUAAAAUCGGCUUCCUAUAUUGCAACAAAGCAUCCUUCACUCAUGCUGCCAAAUAUACCCUCGUAAAACUGACCAUCCUACCGAUCCUCGACUUCGGUGAUGUCAUCUAUAAAAUAGCCUCCAACACUCUACUCAACAAAUUGGAUGCAGUCUAUCACAGUGCCAUCCGUUUUGUCACCAAAGCCCCAUACACUACCCGACAUUGCGACCUGUAUGCUCUCGUUGGUUGGCCCUCGCUUCAUACUCGUCGCCAAACCCACUGGCUACAGUUUAUCUACAAGUCUCUGCUAGGUAAAGCCCCGCCUUAUCUCAGCUCAUUGGUCACCAUAGCAGCACCCACUCGUGGCACGCGCUCCAGCAGGUACAGUGCCUUGCGAAAGUAUUCGGCCCCCUUGAACUUUGCGACCUUUUGCCACAUUUCAGGCUUCAAACAUAAAGAUAUAAAACUGUAUUUUUUUGUGAAGAAUCAACAACAAAUCAAAAACUGAAAAAUUGGGCGUGCAAAAUUAUUCAGUCCCCUUAAGUUAAUACUUUGUAGCGCCACCUUUUGCUGCGAUUACAGCUGUAAGUCGCUUGGGGUAUGUCUCUAUCAGUUUUGCACAUCGAGAGACUGACAUUUUUUCCCAUUCCUCCUUGGAAAACAGCUCGAGCUCAGUGAGGUUGGAUGGAGAGCAUUUGUGAACAGCAGUUUUUAGUUCUUUCCACAGAUUCUCGAUUGGAUUCAGGUCUGGACUUUGACUUGGCCAUUCUAACACCUGGAUAUGUUUAUUUUUGAACCAUUUCAUUGUAGAUUUUGCUUUAUGUUUUGGAUAAUUGUCUUGUUGGAAUACAAAUCUCUGUCCCAGUCUCAGGUCUUUUGCAGACUCCAUCAGGUUUUCUUCCAGAAUGGUCCUGUAUUUGGCUCCAUCCAUCUUCCCAUCAAUUUUAACCAUCUUCCCUGUCCCUGCUGAAGAAAAGCAGGCCCAAACCAUGUUUGACAGUGGGGAUGGUGUGAUCAGGGUGAUGAGCUGUGUUGCUUUUACGCCAAACAUAACGUUUUGCAUUGUUGCCAAAAAGUUCAAUUUUGGUUUCAUCUGACCAGAGCACCUUCUUCCACAUGUUUGGUGUCUCCCCCAGGUGGCUUGUGGCAAACUUUAAACAUCACUUUUUAUGGAUAUCUUUAAGAAAUGGCUUUCUCCUUGCCACUCUUCCAUAAAGGCCAGAUUUGUGCAAUAUACGACUGAUCGUUGUCCUAUGGACAGAGUCUCCCACCUCAGCUGUAGAUCUCUGCAGUUCAUCCAGAGUGAUCAUGGGCCUCUUGGCUGCAUCUCUGAUCAGUCUUGUCCUUGUAUGAGCUGAAUGUUUAGAGGGACGGCCAGGUCUUGGUAGAUUUGCAGUGGUCUGAUACUCCUUCCAUUUCAAUAUUAUUGCUUGCACAGUGCUCCUUGGGAUGUUUAAAGCUUGGGAAAUCUUUUUGUAUCCAAAUCCGGCUUUAAACUUCUUCACAACAGUAUCUCGGACCUGCCUGGUGUGUUCCUUGUUCUUCAUGAUGCUCUCUGCGCUUUUAACGGACCUCUGAGACUAUCACAGUGCAGGUGCAUUUAUACGGAGACUUGAUUACACACAGGUGGAUUGUAUUUAUCAUCAUUAGUCAUUUAGGUCAACAUUGGAUCAUUCAGAGAUCCUCACUGAACUUCUGGAGAGAGUUUGCUGCACUGAAAGUAAAGGGGCUGAAUAAUUUUGCACGCCCAAUUUUUCAGUUUUUGAUUUGUUAAAAAAGUUUGAAAUAUCCAAUAAAUGUCGUUCCACUUCAUGAUUGUGUCCCACUUGUUGUUGAUUCUUCACAAAAAAAUACAGUUUUAUAUCUUUGUUUGAAGCCUAAAAUGUGGCAAAAGGUCGCAAAGUUCAAGGGGGCCGAAUACUUUCGCAAGGCACUGUAUAUCUCACUGGUCACCCCCAAAGCCAAUUCCUCCUUUGGUCGUCUUUCCUUCCAGUUCUCUGCUGCCAAUGACUGGAACGAACUGAAAAAAAUCUCUGAAGCUUGAGAUUCAUAUCUCCCUCACUAGAUCUAAGCACUAGCUGUCCGAGCAGCUCACAGAUCACUGCACCGGUACAUAGCAAAUCUGUGAACAGCCCAUCUAUCUACCUACCUCAUCCCCAUACAGUAUUUAUUUAUCUUGCUCCUUUGCACCCCAGUAUCUCUACUUGCACAUUCAUCCUCUGCACAUCUACCAUUCCAGUGUUUAAUUGCGAUAUUGUAAUUACUUCGCCACCAUGGCCUAUUUCUUGUCUUAACUCCCUUAUCUUACCUCAUUUGCACUCACUAUAUAUAGACUUUUUUUUAUUUUGUUCUACUGUAUUAUUGACUAUGUUUUGUUUAUUCCAUGUGUAACUCUGUGUUGUUGUAUGUGUCGAACUGCUAUGCUUUAUCUUGGCCAGGUCGCAGUUGAAAAUGAGAACUUGUUCUCAACUAGCCUACCUGGUUAAAUAAAGAUGAAAUUUAAAAAAUAAAGUAGCCACCCUUUGCCUUGAUGACAGCUUUGUACACUCUUGGCAUUCUCUCAACCAGCUUCAUGAGGUAGUCACCUGGAAUGCAUUUCAAUUAACAGGUGAAUGACUAGCUGUGUCCACACUUUUGACUGGUACUGUAUAAAUAAUGACUAAUUAUUCACUUGAAUUACUAUUAUAUAUAUUUGUUCCAUUUAAGACAAAUUUCUCCUUUGAGAUUUGUUGCCAGGAUGCUUGAAACUCUGGUUGUAACUGAAUCUGUUAAAUGACACCACCUGAAGGAGAAACAGUUGUAACUGAAUCUGUAAAAAGAUGCCACUUGAAGGAGUAAAGAAAUAAAAUGGUAGCAAACUGACGCCUCUCUGGUUUAACAAAGGCCAAAACUGCUUUCAAAAAGGCUUUUCCCGCGAUGGCAUUAAUAAUUGUUGUGCAUUGACAGAGUAUAUGCUUCCCUCCCUAUCACAACCUGAAUGCACCUCGAGCGGAAAACCUUUCAUAUGGAACACAUAACAACAAGCCGACCAGGGAAACGGUGUUAGGUUCUAACACACAACAACAAGCCGACCAGGGAAACGGUGUUAGGUUCUAACACACAACAACAAGCCGACCAGGGAAACGGUGUUAGGUUCUAACACACAACAACAAGCCGACCAGGGAAACGGUGUUAGGUUCUAACACACAACAACAAGCCGACCAGGGAAACGGUGUUAGGUUCUAACACACAACAACAAGCCGACCAGGGAAACGGUGUUAGGUUGUAAAACACAACAACAACAAGACGACCAGGGAAACGGUGUUAGGUUCUAACACACAACAACAAGACGACCAGGGAAACGGUGUUAGGUUCUAACACACAACAACAACAACAACAAGCCGACAACAACAGCGUUAGGUUCUAACACACAACAACAAGCCGACCAGGGAAACGGCGUUAGGUUCUAACACACAACAACAACAACAAGCCGACCAGGGAAACGGUGUUAGGUUCUAACACACAACAACAACAACAACCCGACAACAACAGCGUUAGGUUCUAACACACAACAAGCCGACCAGGGAAACGGUGUUAGGUUGUAAAACACAACAAGCCGACCAGGGAAACAGAGUUAGGUUCUAACACACAACAACAACAACAAGCCGACAACAACAGCGUUAGGUUCUAACACACAACAACAAGCCGACCAGGGAAACGGCGUUAGGUUCUAACACACAACAACAACAACAAGCCGACCAGGGAAACGGUGUUAGGUUCUAACACACAACAACAACAACAACCCGACAACAACAGCGUUAGGUUCUAACACACAACAAGCCGACCAGGGAAACGGUGUUAGGUUGUAAAACACAACAACAACAAGACGACCAGGGAAACGGUGUUAGGUUCUAACACACAACAACAAGACGACCAGGGAAACGGUGUUAGGUUGUAAAACACAACAAGCCGACCAGGGAAACGGUGUUAGGUUGUAAAACACAACAAGCCGACCAGGGAAACAGAGUUAGGUUCAAACACACAACAACAACAGCGUUAGGUUCUAACACACAACAACAAGCCGACCAGGGAAACGGUGUUAGGUUCUAACACACAACAACAACAAGCCGACCAGGGAAACGGUGUUAGGUUCUAACACACAACAACAACAAGCCGACCAGGGAAACGGUGUUAGGUUCUAACACACAACAACAAGCCGACCAGGGAAACAGUGUUAGGUUGUAAAACACAACAACAAGCCGACCAGGGAAACAGCGUUAGGUUCAAACACACAACAACAAGCCGACCAGGGAAACGGCGUUAGGUUCUAACACACAACAACAACAAGCCGACCAGGGAAACGGCGUUAGGUUCUAACACACAACAAC
This is a long non-coding RNA of Oncorhynchus keta (chum salmon), 5548 nucleotides long. RefSeq lists it as uncharacterized. The record is from RefSeq and is a predicted model, not a curated record. Lineage: Eukaryota; Metazoa; Chordata; Actinopteri; Salmoniformes; Salmonidae. The transcript is spliced from 3 exons.